AAUAAUGUUGACCAUAUCAUAGUGUUUGAGCACAGGGAGAAAUAAAUCUUUUAGGAGGAGGUAAUUUUCUCUUGUAAGUUUGAUGGGGAGGAGGUUGGGGACGUGUUGAGGAGCAAUUUGUGGAAUCAAAGGAACGGGAUCAGAAGAGGAGCUCUAGGGAUGUCCGAAAGUGGUUGGUAUGAAACCUUAUACAUUUGAAGCAACACCUCAAGCAAAUGAUUUCUGUAAGCCGACCAGAACUGAACGGAAGUAGUUAUACAUGAGUGGCUUCUUGGAUGAACAAGCUUUAUUUUUCCACUGCCGAUCCACCAAAUUGGGUCAAAGCUUUAUUCUCAAUCCCCUCUCUCACACUCUAAUUCUUCAGUCUCUCAAUCUGAGAGUUUUGGUAAGUAUGUUCAACAACAUUUUAAACCCUCAAAUUUCAUAAUUUGUUUGAAAUUUGCUAGCCAAUCUUUUUUGGUUCAGAAAAUAUGAAUUGUGAAUCUGCUUUUUCAUGCUCAGGGUUUAGAUUAUGUCUUUAUUGUUGAGAAAAUAUGAAUUUGUAGGGACCACAUGGCUGAAAAUGUUAGACAUGCUUGCUGGUUCAGAAACUGUGGAUUCAAUCUCUCUUGCUCAUGAUGUUUUCAUGCACUCAUAUUAGUUAUAGGGAUGAGAUAUGGCUCAAUAAGUCAGAUAUUCUUCUUGUUUCAAUCUGCUAUUUCAUGCACUGAAUAUGUUAGAUAUGUUAUAUAGAUGUAGGUGAACCAGGAGAAGAAGUUGUUGCUUCUAAUCAGCCACCACUUAUACUUAAAUCUACAUCAACAAUUGAUCCCAUAUAUUACGGACAUCAAGUUUGAGAACUCAUUUCUUCGCUCCCCGCCGCUCAGCUUGCAUCGCAUAAGCAAAGCCAAUGGUUUUAAAUAAGGAAAUAAAAUAUUUCUGAUUGUACGUGUUUAAUUAUAUCCUUGCCUUGCACUCGAAGGCUCUUGUAAUUGUUUUGCUUGGCUACAGGUCAUGUCGGCUGAUCUCUUGUAAUGAAAUAUUAUUCUAUUCUUGCUGCAAAUCCUUCAGAGACGAUGAGAUGAAUUCAACAUAAUUGGAUUUCCUAUUUGAUUAGUGCUUCCACUUAUAUGUCCAACCACCUUCACCACCUACUGUUC
RNAcentral lists this long non-coding RNA (1139 nucleotides) under Prunus persica (peach). RNAcentral describes it as "long non-coding RNA (PPER_LNC000917)". The record is from RNAcentral. Lineage: Eukaryota; Viridiplantae; Streptophyta; Magnoliopsida; Rosales; Rosaceae.